RNAcentral lists this unclassified non-coding RNA (546 nucleotides) under Lodderomyces parapsilosis. RNAcentral's name for it is "Candida parapsilosis sequence contains 18S rRNA gene, ITS1, 5.8S rRNA gene, ITS2, 28S rRNA gene". The stretch from base 206 to 359 matches the Rfam family "5.8S ribosomal RNA". Lineage: Eukaryota; Fungi; Ascomycota; Pichiomycetes; Serinales; Debaryomycetaceae. The record is from RNAcentral.
UGGAAGUAAAAGUCGUAACAAGGUUUCCGUAGGUGAACCUGCGGAAGGAUCAUUACAGAAUGAAAAGUGCUUAACUGCAUUUUUUCUUACACAUGUGUUUUUCUUUUUUUGAAAACUUUGCUUUGGUAGGCCUUCUAUAUGGGGCCUGCCAGAGAUUAAACUCAACCAAAUUUUAUUUAAUGUCAACCGAUUAUUUAAUAGUCAAAACUUUCAACAACGGAUCUCUUGGUUCUCGCAUCGAUGAAGAACGCAGCGAAAUGCGAUAAGUAAUAUGAAUUGCAGAUAUUCGUGAAUCAUCGAAUCUUUGAACGCACAUUGCGCCCUUUGGUAUUCCAAAGGGCAUGCCUGUUUGAGCGUCAUUUCUCCCUCAAACCCUCGGGUUUGGUGUUGAGCGAUACGCUGGGUUUGCUUGAAAGAAAGGCGGAGUAUAAACUAAUGGAUAGGUUUUUUCCACUCAUUGGUACAAACUCCAAAACUUCUUCCAAAUUCGACCUCAAAUCAGGUAGGACUACCCGCUGAACUUAAGCAUAUCAAUAAGCGGAGGAA